UUCAUUUUAUUUUAAACACCAAAAUGAAAAUACAUAACAUAACUACAAAGUAAAGCAAAACAUUUUCCCAAAUCAAUUUCUUAUGAAACUGUAGUAAAACUGAAUUUUUAGUUAAAUCAUCUUUAUUUUUCACUCGCAGGUAAAAGGAUCCACAAGUUUUACUCAAGUAAAAGAAAAAGUGCAGUAUCAUAAAAAUACUGCUAAAAGUACAUUUUUUCCAGAAGACGAAUAAAAGUCGGUAUUUCCUGUGUGGCUCUGGGUCGGUUUCCACCUGCUCACCUGUUUUCUUCUGGCUUUGGCUGAAACGUGUCUUCACAUCCAGCUGGUCAUCAAACAGUCAGCUGGUCGCUCAGUUUCGCGUUUAUUUGGUUUAUGUCAGUAAAGUCGCUCAUCGUUCUGCAAUCAGCUGCACAGACGAGAUGCAAACCUUUUACUGACCGAACGAGGAAAGAAGCCGCCGUCCAUCGUAACGACGAGCAUCUUCCCUCACCAACAUGGCGGCUCUCACUUCUUCUCCAGCCAUCGGAUGUGAAACUCACCGGCCUGCUGGAAACCUGUUCAGGGUUUAAAAUGAAACGUGGCUCUGACUCUAACGCCACCGCCCCCUGAGUGACUUCAGAAUAAAAGUCCUCCUUUGUCAUGUGAAGCACCUCUUGAGUCCUCCGGUCAGCAGCAGACAUUUCAAAGCCUUCGGCAGACGCGGCCCUCUCUCCCAGACAGUGGUCAUUUGUCUUGCGAUGCCUGAUUUCUUGAGUAUCCAAUGGCAGCAGAGCGCAGGUUUCCUCCAGCUCCCCACCGCUUUGGCGCUGCAGCAAAGGAGGAGUAGAAGGGUCAAACCCAGACAGACAGACAGACGGACGUCUUAAAGCAACAUUUCCAUGUUGGGUGUUGCAGGUUGC
Non-coding RNA from Poecilia reticulata (guppy), 899 nucleotides. Lineage: Eukaryota; Metazoa; Chordata; Actinopteri; Cyprinodontiformes; Poeciliidae. The record is from RefSeq and is a predicted model, not a curated record.